Molecule: ribosomal RNA, 296 nt
Filed under: uncultured bacterium
Lineage: Bacteria
Description: partial 16S ribosomal RNA
Rfam family: Bacterial small subunit ribosomal RNA
Source: RNAcentral
GGAUUAGAUACCCUGGUAGUCCACGCUGUAAACGAUGGAUGUUAGAUGUCUGGACAUUAUGUCUGGGUGUCGAAGCUAACGUGAUAAACAUCCCGCCUGGGGAGUACGAUCGCAAGAUUAAAACUCAAAGGAAUUGACGGGGACCCGCACAAGCGGUGGAGUAUGUGGUUUAAUUCGAAGCUACGCGCAGAACCUUACCUGCUCUUGUAUGUAUCUUUAGUCUAAGAAGAAAUUUUUAGAUUCCAGUUCGCUGGACGGAUACACAGGUGCUGCAUGGCUGUCGUCAGCUCGUGCCG